Molecule: long non-coding RNA, 340 nt
Filed under: Rattus norvegicus (Norway rat)
Lineage: Eukaryota; Metazoa; Chordata; Mammalia; Rodentia; Muridae
Description: long non-coding RNA NONRATT028645
Source: RNAcentral
UUCGAGGGUACGCCAUUGGUUACGGCAUUGGCAGCCCUCAUGCCCAGACCAUCAAAGUGGACUACAAACAGCGCUAUUACACCAUCGAAAACUUGGAUCCAAGCUCUCAUUACGUGAUUACCUUGAAAGCAUUUAACAAUGUUGGUGAAGGCAUCCCUCUUUAUGAGAGUGCUGUGACCAGACCUCACACAGGUAGGGCAUCUGUCUGUCUUGGUCACCUGUACUUUUCCCAACUGCUUUUGUAGAGUAUGACUCAGGGGUCUCCCUGAUGGGUGUUCAUGAACAAAAAAAUCAUGGCAACUUGGAGUACAGACUUGGAAUGAAUGAAAGACUGACUUUC